RNAcentral lists this ribosomal RNA (524 nucleotides) under Pycnothelia papillaria. RNAcentral describes it as "partial large subunit ribosomal RNA". The stretch from base 176 to 524 matches the Rfam family "Bacterial large subunit ribosomal RNA", at positions 865 to 1230 of the family's 2925-position model. Lineage: Eukaryota; Fungi; Ascomycota; Lecanoromycetes; Lecanorales; Cladoniaceae. The record is from RNAcentral.
UCAGAAGGUACAGAAUUGUGAUCUCAUGCAACUAGUAUUACUUUUAUUUCAUUAUUUUAAUCAAAAAAAAACAGUUUGCUUGUGUGCUUAUACUAGGUGAUACUACGUAGGCAUUCAUACAUAUAUGCUUUUUAUAGAGUAAUUUAUCAAUAAAAUGAAAAACAUACUUUUUGUGGACAUUGGGGGGUCGUGAAGACUCUAUCAGUGAGUAUUUGUUCUCGGAAGGACUGGUAUGUAUAUUAAAUAAUCGGACAUAGUACGAAAAGGUUGUAUGUCUAAAGGGAAACAGCCCAAAACAAGAGUUAAUAAGGUUCCAAAAUUUUUGUUAAGUGAAAUUAAGGCAGUAUUUAUCCUAAUCGGCCAGGGAAUAGGCUUAGAAGCGGCCAUUUUUUGAAGACCUCGUAACAGAGCACUGGUUUAUAUCAUACGGAUAAAAGCACCGAAGAUUUAACGGAUCUAAACAAAGUACCGAUACCUUGUCCAUAUAUAUUAAUGUAUAUAUUAUAUAUUAUAUAUAAGGGGUA